RNAcentral lists this unclassified non-coding RNA (4282 nucleotides) under Apis florea (little honeybee). RNAcentral describes it as "glycerophosphocholine phosphodiesterase GPCPD1, transcript variant X5". The record is from RNAcentral. Lineage: Eukaryota; Metazoa; Arthropoda; Insecta; Hymenoptera; Apidae.
UGUCGUCACUUCCGCGUUCACGACGUUGCCAAAUCGACCAUUAUUUCAUCUGCGAAAGAAAAAGUAUUGCGGUGUAGUGUUGUACUUGAGCUGUAUCGUGUUAGUUAAAAUAGUUGUGUUGUGCUGUGAAAGAAUAAAUUAUGACAAAUUUGAUAAAAAAUAUAGAGCGACUGCCUUGGGCAUUCGUUAAAUAACACACACUCUUAUACGAGGUGAAUACCAGGCUGCUAAUCAAUCUUUACAAAUAAAAUCUACCGUGUUUUUUCCAUACAAUAGAAGAUUAGCUGAUGUGAAUUGAACACACCUUGAAACACAGAAAAUUGAAAGAGAAAAACACUGAGAAAAAGAAAACAUAUAUAAUAUGCAGCGGAUAUGGUUUAUAGAGAACAAAGAGGACGGGGAAUACAAGCAGCAAGAGAAGCCACGUGAGACUAACUUCAUCGAGGUGGCAACUGAACAUACAUCAGACAUGAGGGGAUCUAAAAGAGAUUGGAUUUUUAGAGUCCAAGUACAUAAAGUAGAAAAAAAUGAAGUUUUGUAUGUAGUGGGUAAUUUACCUGAACUGGGUGCUUGGAAUCACAAUCAGGCAAUUCAAUUAUCACAAGAGCAUGGCAGUCGGGAUUCUCCUAUACUUUUUGACAGUAAUAGUAGUGGAGAAUUUUAUAGUGACGAUGGACAUGACAAUGCUGGAGAUAACUCAUUUGGUGAUAUAGAUGAUGAAGGUGGAAGAAUAUUUUCACAAAAAGUUGCACUUCCCAUUGAUGCUGAUGUAGAAUUCCGAUAUUUUGUUGCCGUCAUCUGUCAUUCUAAUGGUACUAAAAAUUCGGCCAAGACUCUUAUUAUUCGUAGAUGGGAGACUCAUAUGACACCACGCUUUAUUAAAAAAAAUGCACCUAGCAAUUUUAGUAGUGACACAUUGCCUGAUCCAGAUAAAUUCGGUUAUUAUAAUGGCUACUGUAAAAUUGAACGAGGCUGGUUGACCGAUGAAACUGUGAUACAAUUUAAGCUUUUUAAUAAUCCAAUUAAGUUAUGGAAAAAUCGACUACAAAAUAGAAAAGUUCACAUUAAAAUGACACCUGUAAAUUUAAUUAGACACAAUUCUUUAGAAUUGCAACAAUUUGGUGGUGAUUGUGUAGAUGAUAGUCUUUCUAUGGAUACGCAAGAUAUUAUUGAUCAACCUGCCUUUAGUAUUACAGAAGUUGCGGUAAUGAAUGAUGAAGAAGCUCGUUUCAAGAUACAAGAACAAUUUGGUCGAGCUUACAAUGAAGACGAAUUUAUUAUCUUCAAUGUUGCAGUUCGAUAUCCUGAAACUAUUGCUUAUUUGGUGGACUACUACGUAUACAGCUCAAGAUGUUUUCCAGGAGAACCACCAAGUCAUAUCGGUUUCAGCUAUAUUUUACCUAGUACAUUACAAUCUAGCGUUGGGCUUCUAACAGUACCAAUUACAAGCACAAAGCAUAGACCAAUUGGACAACUUACAUUAGAAUAUGUUGUGAUAAAAUCAAUUCCAGAUUAUCCAUGGGAUAUGAAUAUUUCAUAUGCUAAACAUUGGGAACAACGGUGGUCUGGCCUAGAUGUAGGACAUAGGGGAUUAGGUACAUCUUUUCAAACAAAAAACUGUGCUAAUGUGCGUGAAAAUACAAUAGCUUCUUUAAAGACUGCAUCAUAUCAUGGAGCUGAUAUGGUUGAAUUUGAUGUUCAAUUAUCUAAAGAUCACAUACCGGUCAUUUACCACGAUUUUUAUGUAUCUAUUUCAUUAAAACGCAAGAAACAAAUAGAAGCUAUGGAUAUGCUAGAAAUACCUGUUAAGGAUCUUACAUUAGAACAACUACAUCUAUUAAAGGUGUAUCAUGUGGCUGAAGGUCGAGAAAAAAAUCCAAGAUUUUUUGAUGAAGAUUUAGAAGAUCAUCAACCUUUUCCUACGCUUCAAACUGUACUUCAAGAAUUAGAACAACAUGUCGGCUGUAAUAUCGAAAUUAAAUGGACUAUGCAAUUAAAGGACGGCACAUUCGAGCUUAAUCAUCCUUUCGAUCUUAAUAUGUAUUUGGACAUUAUAUUGAAAGUCGUUCUAGAAUAUGGAGGGGAUAGGAAAAUUGUUUUUUCAUCAUUCAAUCCAGAUAUUUGUGCCAUGAUUCGUCUUAAACAAAAUAAAUAUCCAGUAGUAUUUUUAACACAAGGUGUAACUUCAAAAUAUCCUACUUAUCAUGAUCCGAGAUGUCAAACGAUACCAAUGGCUGUUAGACAUGCAUUAGCAGCUGAUAUCUUAGGAAUUAAUGUUCAUACUGAAGAUAUUCUUAGAGAUCCCUCACAAGUCAAAUUUGUAAAGGAUGCUGGAUUAAUUAUUUUUUGUUGGGGAGAUGACAAUAAUGAUAAAGAUACAAUUCAACAUUUAAAGAAACUUGGUUUGCAUGCAGUUAUUUAUGAUAAAAUUGAUGAAUAUAAUGCAAAAGAAGUCAAGGAAAGCAUAUUUUUAGUUGAUGCGAGAGAAAAUCAAAAGGCGCUAAUUGCUUUAGCACAAUGUAAUCAGAGUUGUGCACCUCAACCUCAAAUUACUAAUUCUCUAAAUUCAGAAAAGGAUUAUUAUAUGGACAUCGAUAAAUCACGAAAUAUGAUCACAACUACAUCAACUACAACUUCAUUUGCAUCUUUUGGUAAGAAUAGUAUUGGUGACGAUAAUAUAUAUCCAAUGUCAACUGUUAAAUUACCAAGUACAUGUGACCAUCAGGAGAGCAAAGAGAUCAGUGAAAUGACGAAAGAUUUUAGCGUUUGUGCAAAGUCUUUUGGCCACUCAGUAAAAGCAAAAAGUAUCUCAGACUUAGUUUGCGGUCAAACGACAACGUUAUCAGAGAUCUAUGGAGAGGAUGACACUGCGAAAGACUGUCUUUGAUGUUUUUCUUUUAAGAAGCCGUUUAUGUCAUGGUUCUGAUUCAGAAAAUAUUAUCUACAAAAGACCACAAGAAGAAAAAAAACCGAAGAAAAUGUUUUGUAACUUGUAAUUUACUAUAAUAUUUACACCAAAGGGGUUAAACAAUUUUAGUUUCCCUAACAGUCCUAGGAUCCAUAACAUUGGAUCAUCUUAACGGCCAUUACAUGGAAUAUAUUUAUAUAUUAAUGCACAAGAAAGAUGACUGAUUGUAUUUUUCACAUCAUUUAUAUCAUUCCUACAAUCGGUCAAUUUCAUAUUAUGUCUUACUUAAAACUCUAUACAAUGGUAAUUAUGAGUCCAAUGGCUGUAGAAAAAGAUGUCUACUUCUGUUACUCUGCCUAUGGCAGAUGAAUAAGGAGUUGCAAGUUUUUAGUACAAAUAUUCUCAAUAUUUUCAUUUAGUUCAUAAAAAGAAGUCACCCCUCUCAUUUUUUCUUUUAAUUAUAUACUAAUUUCAAAAAAUGAAAAUUGACAGAAAUAUCUAUAUAAUAUAACACAAAUAUAUAACAUCAUGAAUAUAUUCUCUUUUUUAAGUUAUCAAAAAAAAAAUUAAAAAAAAUAAGCGAUUGUUUUUCGACAGUUUGAAAUGUUGAUAAAAGUUGUGAAGUAAUUAUUAUGUCAUAUUCACUUAUUUAUGUUUCAAAUUAUUUUUAAUGCAGCAUUAGAAAUUGAAUCAUGAAAAAAGAAUUAUGUGUAACAUUAGUAUAAUUAUAAAAAAGCGCUUUUUUCCAUAUUUAUAAUAAUAUGAUGAUUGUUACAAUUUAUUCAUCUAUGUAUAAUAGUUAUCUUAAAAAAUUAAAAAUCGAUUUUCUUUUAUAUAAAUAAGAACACAAUUGUGAAAUUAACAAAUUUUUAAAAAUCAUUCAUUUGCUUUAUAGAUUUUUUCUGUUCAGAUUCUAAUACCUGAUUAACUUUUUAAUAAACUGCAUCAGUGACAAAAUAAGUAUGUAGUACGCGAAUAUCUUUUCAAAGUUAUUGAACAGAGAAGAUGAUUUAUACCGUUAUACCGCAUUGGUAGUAUGCUAUACAAUUAAAGAGAGCGAUUGUAUCAAUCGUUAUGAUUCUGGCAAUAUACAGAAUAUCUGUUGAUGGUUUAGAGAAGUAUACCACAGAUAUGUUAUGGGAUCACAUAUGUAAGUGCACACAUGUAGUGCAUUAAGGGGGGUGGUUACUGAUCUUUUCUAUUGUCAUAGAGGCUAUGCAUUAUAAUAAACCAGUUGAUAGAUAUAAAUCGGUUCGACAAGUUUAUAAUUAAAAUACAUUGAUAGACCUUUGCAAAUUCUGACAUGCAUAAGUUAAUACAUUAUAGUCUUCAAGUGUAUAAUAUGAUAACAUCAUAUAUAUUUCAGAUUUCUAA